AGCUACAGGCUUAACACAUGCAAGUCGAGGGGCAGCAUGGUCUUAGCUUGCUAAGGCCGAUGGCGACCGGCGCACGGGUGAGUAACACGUAUCCAACCUGCCGUCUACUCUUGGACAGCCUUCUGAAAGGAAGAUUAAUACAAGAUGGCAUCAUGAGUCCGCAUGUUCACAUGAUUAAAGGUAUUCCGGUAGACGAUGGGGAUGCGUUCCAUUAGAUAGUAGGCGGGGUAACGGCCCACCUAGUCUUCGAUGGAUAGGGGUUCUGAGAGGAAGGUCCCCCACAUUGGAACUGAGACACGGUCCAAACUCCUACGGGAGGCAGCAGUGAGGAAUAUUGGUCAAUGGGCGCAGGCCUGAACCAGCCAAGUAGCGUGAAGGAUGACUGCCCUAUGGGUUGUAAACUUCUUUUAUAAAGGAAUAAAGUCGGGUAUGGAUACCCGUUUGCAUGUACUUUAUGAAUAAGGAUCGGCUAGCUCCGUGCCAGCAGCCGCGGUAAUACGGAGGAUCCGAGCGUUAUCCGGAUUUAUUGGGUUUAAAGGGAGCGUAGAUGGAUGUUUAAGUCAGUUGUGAAAGUUUGCGGCUCAACCGUAAAAUUGCAGUUGAUACUGGAUAUCUUGAGUGCAGUUGAGGCAGGCGGAAUUCGUGGUGUAGCGGUGAAAUGCUUAGAUAUCACGAAGAACUCCGAUUGCGAAGGCAGCCUGCUAAGCUGCAACUGACAUUGAGGCUCGAAAGUGUGGGUAUCAAACAGGAUUAGAUACCCUGGUAGUCCACACGGUAAACGAUGAAUACUCGCUGUUUGCGAUAUACGGCAAGCGGCCAAGCGAAAGCGUUAAGUAUUCCACCUGGGGAGUACGCCGGCAACGGUGAAACUCAAAGGAAUUGACGGGGGCCCGCACAAGCGGAGGAACAUGUGGUUUAAUUCGAUGAUACGCGAGGAACCUUACCCGGGCUUAAAUUGCAGAUGAAUUACGGUGAAAGCCGUAAGCCGCAAGGCAUCUGUGAAGGUGCUGCAUGGUUGUCGUCAGCUCGUGCCGUGAGGUGUCGGCUUAAGUGCCAUAACGAGCGCAACCCUUGUUGUCAGUUACUAACAGGUUCUGCUGAGGACUCUGACAAGACUGCCAUCGUAAGAUGUGAGGAAGGUGGGGAUGACGUCAAAUCAGCACGGCCCUUACGUCCGGGGCUACACACGUGUUACAAUGGGGGGUACAGAGGGCCGCUACCACGCGAGUGGAUGCCAAUCCCAAAAACCUCUCUCAGUUCGGACUGGAGUCUGCAACCCGACUCCACGAAGCUGGAUUCGCUAGUAAUCGCGCAUCAGCCACGGCGCGGUGAAUACGUUCCCGGGCCUUGUACACACCGCCCGUCAAGCCAUGGGAGCCGGGGGUACCUGAAGUGCGUAACCGCGAGGAGCGCCCUAGGGUAAAACUGGUGACUGGGGCUAAGUA
Molecule: ribosomal RNA, 1445 nt
Filed under: uncultured organism
Description: SSU rRNA
Rfam family: Bacterial small subunit ribosomal RNA
Source: RNAcentral